AACCCCUGCAUCAUCAAGCCUGUAGUCGUACACCAGGCCUUCUUCAGGAAAACACAAGGCACUGAAGCACUGGCGGCCGGCUACAUCUCCCGUGGCUCCGACGCUCCACACCAGCGAAAAAAAGAACCAAGAUGCUGCCCCUCUACGCAGAAGUGCUGGAAAGAUACCAUCGGUCCUACACGGGUGAAGAAACAGCCAAAAUCUGAGUGUCUUGUUACUGUGCGGUGUGAGGGUUUGGAGAGAAGCGCAUU
Melanotaenia boesemani (Boeseman's rainbowfish) is the source of this 251-nucleotide long non-coding RNA. RefSeq lists it as uncharacterized. The transcript is spliced from 3 exons. NCBI's taxonomy places the organism in Eukaryota, Metazoa, Chordata, Actinopteri, Atheriniformes, Melanotaeniidae. The record is from RefSeq and is a predicted model, not a curated record.